Molecule: RNA transcript, 3704 nt
Organism: Temnothorax curvispinosus
Lineage: Eukaryota; Metazoa; Arthropoda; Insecta; Hymenoptera; Formicidae
Gene name: ras-related protein M-Ras-like
Exons: 5
Source: RefSeq, a predicted model, not a curated record
CACGACGUGAAGUGAGCUGUGUGCGCUGUGUGGUGUGCCGUGAAUACUUGACGGUCGUGACGCGUGAGUGCGAAAGUGUAUGUGUGCAUAUAUAAUUUCGCUACACACUACACACUUUUGCAUAUGCACGCGCAUGACAUACGCGCGCGCGCGAGCGCGUGGCUAUAUUUGCGCACGGUACUCGGGUCGGGACUCUCGGGAGUCGGGGGAGUCGGGUACUUGCGGACUGACAGCUGCCAGCACGACUAGCACGAGUAGUAGGAGCAAGCAGAAGUGGCGGAUCAUGUAAGGUGAGCAAAGGAUCUUCCGUGUCGAACGAGACACAACUCGCCAACCUACGAGCGAUUGCACUGCCAAAGAGACACGUUAGAAGAGUUGACAGGAUAGGUAGACGCAGGAGCGGACGGAAAAGGAGUAGACGAUCGAGAGGCGGAAUGACACGUCCUCCAAACAAUGAAAACCUUAUGACCUUUAAACUGGUCGUAGUUGGAGAUGGAGGUGUCGGCAAGAGCGCACUCACAAUACAGUAUUUUCAGAAACUGUUUGUCGCAGACUACGAUCCAACUAUUGAGGAUAGUUAUAUUCAACACGCGGAGGUAGACAAACAGUGGUGUAUCUUGGAUGUGUUAGAUACAGCUGGUCAGGAAGAAUUUAGUGCUAUGCGUGAACAAUAUAUGCGGAAAGGUGAUGGAUUUCUUUUGGUAUAUUCUGUGACUGAUAAACAAUCGUAUCAAAACAUCGUCAAUUUUCAUACUCAAAUUUUACGAGUGAAAGAUAGAGAUGUUUAUCCUAUGUUAUUGGUGGCUAACAAAGUCGAUCUGGUGCAUUUGAGAAAAGUCACGGAGGAACAGGGAAGAGAAUUGGCUCAGCGUUUGGGCAUACCUUAUAUUGAAACUUCUGCCAAAGAUCCACCACUGAAUGUAGACGCGGCGUUUCACGAGGUUGUUCGCAUUAUCAGAAAUCAACCUCCGGCCGAAUUGGAGAAAAAUCAAAAAAAGCGACGACGUUCGAAAAAGUGUAACAUUUUAUAAGUUUUCAAGAGAAACUACGCACAUGCGCAAGAAGACCAAAAACCAUGGUGCUGUAUCGUAAUCGUGCAAUGCCUUUGCUUCUGGAAAAGUACGUCCUUGUUUAGAAAAUUCAUCAGAGAGAAUAAUUUUUCUUCAAGUAUUCUAUAGGAAUUUUCCAAAAGGAACGUGCAGCCGGUUCUUGGGGAGCUUGGCAGGUCUAUAUAGAAGAUAAGUAAGCAGGUAAAUAAGUAAGUGCACUCGACGAACACUGGGUCUUUCGACCCAAUAGCAGAAUAUGCGAAAUAAAUGAAGGAAAAGAAGAUAUGUCCAAGUAUUUUAUUUUAAUAAAAGAGAGAAAAAUAAGAUGACAAUAGCUGUAUUUAUAUCCUAAAACGCUUUCUUCUGUAAAAAUAAAAAAACCAAUACUUGGUUGUCAACGACUUAAAACUUAAAAUAUAUUGAUAAUUCUUUUAGAGGUUUGACAUUUUAGUUGUAUAAAUUUUGCAGAAAAGGCUGUCAUAGCUUUUUUCUUUUUCUCGAAUAAGUAGUGAAAGUUUUGAACUCGAGUGAACAUUAUUGAGAAGUUGAUUUUGCAAAAUAUCGUCUGUUUCUUUGAAAAAGACAAUAUUUUUGUAGAAGAAUUUAAAGAAUCAUAAGUUACAACUUAAAAUAAAACGUAGAAUACACACACGUUAAAGUGCAUAUUAUAUUUUGACACAAUGUUUCAUAACUUUAGUAAUAAUAGUCGAGCUUAUAAAGAAAAGUAAAACCCAUAUUUAUAAUCGCAUUUCUAUAUAUAAUAUUGAAGAACCCAACUGAAAUCAGUGUAAAGAUACAAUAUAAAAAUAUAGUCGAUUGGCCUAUUUAUAAUUUUAUACAGUAUAUUUGAUAUCAUUUUCCCGAAUCCCGGUGAUUUAUUUUUAAAAUAAAUAUAAUAAUUUAUUCACCUCAUAGUUGUUCAGUCGUCGUUUGAUGCCUGUCAAACUUCCACCUCCUCGAUAAAAUUGUACAACACAAACACUCGCAAAAACUAAAACGAUCGCCUGCAAUUUGCACGGCACUUGGAAUACUAACCGCACGCGACCUUAAUUAUUUUAUCGCGUCGAAACACGAUUAUAGAAAUUAUGCGAAAAAGAUCCGACAUUCUGUGAUUCGUUUUAUGAUAUCCACGAAUAUCGCAAAUUAGCGUGAUAAACAAAAUCUCAAAUAGUAGAGGUUUUUACGAUUCGCAUAACGUAUAACGUUUAUAUUGUAAACUGUUUAAUAUGAAAGAAUUAAGAUUAUUUAACAUAUUUUUUCUCGUUGAUCUCAAACUUGUGUUUAGAAAAAGAAUCUCCUCAGAAAGCGCACGACGCGACGCCAUGAAACCGCAUACAUCAUAUAUGAUUGACCGUUAUAAUGUAAAUCGAGCCAUUAUGAUAUUCUGUACUUAGCAUUCGAAUCGUUACAGCUAUAUAUACACAUACGAUAGCACAUCGAUAUAUUACGCAAAUUUCAAUGCGUUUCGAUUAGAUGGAGAGUAUCUGGGAAACUUGAAGCAAACUACAUCUUAAAAUCGCUUUCCGAUCGAUCCCCGAUAUUUUAUUGCCUUGUACGAUAUAUAUUUUGGAUUCUGUUAAGUAACCCACGCAAUUAUACAAUUCAUUUAGUACAAUAAUGUAUACAACAGCAAUUAUUAUACAAUUACAAACGCGAUUUAUAAUAAUUAUAAUAAUUAAAUUCUGUGCUAUUUAGAAUCGUGACGCCUACAGCCGUGUGAAAAUUCAAGCGCGACCAGCACCCGCUUAGAGUGCUGAUCGCUUGAUAAAUACCACUCGACCAUGAUACGAGCAGCAAGCGUUGCGGUGCAUGCGUACCUAUCCAAUUGGCCAAUAAACGCCGCUGCGCCAUUAGAGAAAAGCACCCCGCUAAGUUUAGAGUACCGAGCACAUGACCGUUUUCGAGGGUCACGUGCGAGGGUAACGGGUAACUGCGAAUGUCAUUGCCGUCGCAGAUAGUCACGGCAAAGCUCCAUCGAUACGCAAAAUUGCCCAGUGUUUUCUAUUCAGAAACGCAAGUCGACGCAGAGUAAACAAAAGUCGAUUUUUAGCCUCUCUCUCUCUCUCUUUCUCUUUCAUCUCUCUUAUGUCUGCAUUCUAUUUAAUUUAUGUCACUAUAUAUUCUCUUUCGAUCGAAUUUCGUUAACUAUUUGUAAGCUGAUUCGCGACAAUCGCGACGGUGCGGAAGUAAUCGUAAAUAAGUUAAAAACAAAAACAUUUGCAAAAACUCUGUUUUUCUCUUUUCCCGAUAUAUGUGUAUAUAUUAAGAACAAAGUUAUUUAUAUCGAUUGUUGCUGUAAAUUCUAAGCUCUUUAUGACACGUUAAAUCCCUAGCUGGUAUCACUCGGUCCUGCAAACUGCUUGUGCCAGUUCAAAUAUGUCUAGUCCCUUAUACCUGCACUCGUUCUCGAGUAGAGAUGUGUACCUUCGUGCUUAGCUUUGCUGAAUGUGAUGUGAUAAUGUGAUGAGAAAUGGAGAUUAAAUAGAAGCGGUCUAUGCAACCGCUAGUACCAGCUUUCCACAGGCACAAGGAAGAGAGGAGUUAAACGUAUGAUACCAAUUAUAAGGAAUAGUUUCGUCAUGUUUAAUUAAUAAUUUAAUUAAUAUUUUGUGAAAGGAUAAGAGAAAACAAACUUGGGAUGACGAGCGAAAGAUG